RNAcentral lists this ribosomal RNA (440 nucleotides) under uncultured bacterium. RNAcentral describes it as "partial 16S ribosomal RNA". It matches the Rfam family "Bacterial small subunit ribosomal RNA", at positions 338 to 795 of the family's 1533-position model. The record is from RNAcentral.
CCUACGGGAGGCAGCAGUGGGGGAUAUUGCACAAUGGGGGAAACCCUGAUGCAGCGACGCCGCGUGAGUGAAGAAGUAUUUCGGUAUGUAAAGCUCUAUCAGCAGGGAAGAAAAUGACAGUACCUGACUAAGAAGCCCCGGCUAACUACGUGCCAGCAGCCGCGGUAAUACGUAGGGGGCAAGCGUUAUCCGGAUUUACUGGGUGUAAAGGGAGCGUAGACGGUGAUAUAAGUCUGGAGUGAAAGGCCGGGGCCCAACCCCGGGACUGCUUUGGAAACUGUGGAACUGGAGUGCAGGAGGGGCAGGCGGAAUUCCUGGUGUAGCGGUGAAAUGCGUAGAGAUCAGGAGGAACACCGGCGGCGAAGGCGGCCUGCUGGACUGAAACUGACGUUGAGGCUCGAAAGCGUGGGGAGCAAACAGGAGUAGAUACCCGGGUAGUC